UGAGGAACAUGACCUUCGGCGGGGGAUAGCCGGCCCAACGGCCGGGUAAUACCGCGUACGACCACUUGGGGACAUCCCUGAGUGGUGAAAGCAGCAAUGCGCCGAUGGAGUGCCUCGCGGCCUAUCAGCUAGUUGGUGAGGUAACGGCUCACCAAGGCGACGACGGGUAGCUGGUCUGAGAGGAUGGCCAGCCACAUUGGGACUGAGACACGGCCCAGCUCCUAGGGACGG
Molecule: ribosomal RNA, 231 nt
Filed under: uncultured bacterium
Lineage: Bacteria
Description: partial 16S ribosomal RNA
Rfam family: Bacterial small subunit ribosomal RNA
Source: RNAcentral